This 460-nucleotide ribosomal RNA is filed under the name uncultured bacterium. RNAcentral describes it as "partial 16S ribosomal RNA". It matches the Rfam family "Bacterial small subunit ribosomal RNA", at positions 338 to 795 of the family's 1533-position model. The record is from RNAcentral.
CCUACGUGAGGCUGCAGUGAGGAAUAUUGGUCAAUGGACGAGAGUCUGAACCAGCCAAGUAGCGUGAAGGAUGACUGCCCUAUGGGUUGUAAACUUCUUUUAUAUGGGAAUAAAAUGUUCCACGUGUGGGAUUUUGUAUGUACCAUAUGAAUAAGGAUCGGCUAACUCCGUGCCAGCAGCCGCGGUAAUAAGGAGGCUCCGAGAGUUAUCCGGAUUUAUUGGGUUUAAAGGGAGCGUAGAUGGGUUGUUAAGUCAGUUGUGAAAGUUUGCGGCUCAACCGUAAAAUUGCAAUUGAUACUGGCAGUCGUGAGUACAGUUGAGGUAGGCGGAAUGCGUGGUGUAGCGGUGAAAUGCUUAGAUAUCACGAAGAACUCCGAUUGCGAAGGCAGCUUACUAAACUGCCACUGACAUUGAUGCUCGAAAGUGUGGGUAUCAAACAGGAUUAGAUACCCCUGUAGUC